AUCACAAGUGGUAAGGAUUCCCAACUACUUUUAUAAACACCACUACAACUUAACAAGCUCAUCUACGUCCAGAUUCCUGUUUGUGUUUUUCCAGACCUGAUCUGUGUUUUUAAGUAGACCAACUUGGAUUGUUGGACCUCAUCUAUAAAUUAGAAUUUUAUUUUGAGUUGUAGCCCAAGUAUAAAUUAAAUCAAAAUGGGAUUAAAAUUUUUAGAAGCAGAGGCUAAUAUAUAAGUAAAGCUUGGGACUUGAACUUUCUGUAUCUCUUAAGAGAAGCAAGUAAAAACCAAAUGGUUACAUUGUGCUGCUGGAAAUAAUGUAGUCACUCCCAACUAAAAGAAUUACACCUGUAGUUACUUGACACUAAUACCAUCUGUGGACAGUUAAUCAAGAGAAUGGUAAAUACAAAUAGAACUUUCAUCUUAACUUCAGACGCUACAGGGUAAUUGCAUAAUUCGCUAGCACUCAUUCCUUUAAAGAAGCUUUGUAGGUUAGCAGAGUUUUGGUUUCUCUUCUAGCUCAGCCAGUCCCUUGUCCUUAGCAACUAUUUGCUUUUCUUUUUCCUGAAGUUUAACCUCUCCUUGGAACAAAAACAGGGCUAACUGGAAAAAUAUUUUGACCAUAGCUCUAGUACUUCCAAAUAAAUUCGUAUCCAGAUUGUCAAACAAAGCCCCCAAAUGAAGUCUAAUUCUGAAUAGAUUCCACAAUUUUGAGUGUUCUUUUUAUCUUACCAACCUAACUUCUUCCCUUCUUCUCAUGCUGGCCUCCCACACCCUCUUAUUUUCUUUUGGCCAUUAUAAUCACAUCCAUUCGACUUUGAUACUCUACCUGCCUUUCAGAAUGAUGGAAUUAGGUAUUCACCCUGUCUUUGAGUGAGGCUGGUUACCAUCGAAGCCAUUUUCUCAAAGUUAUGUGACUAGAAGUUGGAAUCUACUUCCAUACGGAAAGAUCCAAGGGUGGUAGACAAAGCAACCUUCCCGGAGCAGGAGAGCUGGGUUUGAGCUCUAUUGUAGUGACCUGCUGUGACCCUGUGCUCUCUCAUGUGGCCCUAAUGGCUCCUUUGCUAUUAAGUGGCAAAUUACAUUUGGAGUGUCUCCUUCCUUUUCAGAGAACAGAAUUAAUCAAGGCAAAUCAACAAACCCCCAGAGUGCUGUAAUUUAAAGUCAUGAUCACUGCCCUAGAAACGAUAUAUUUGGCAUACUUUAAAAUCAGCUAACUUGGACUGCUUGAGUUGUCUUGGCUAUUAGGACCUAAACGGUUACUAUUAUGUUAUGCUGCACAGAAGGUAUAUUUUAUAAGCUUUUUGGCUUUCUUUUCCCUAAAACAACUAUAACAGCUGUUAGAAGGGAUGAGUCCCUCUAAAGUUUUUUUGUUAAUGUGUUUAUGGAAGCGGGUGGGGAGCUAGUGUGAUAGUAGAGAAGAGCCCAUUUUUUCCUUAUUUUCAAAGCUAAAGAAAAUAAUUAGGCUUCCUGUGAGUUGUCUUUUACUCGCAUACUUUUUUUUUCGUUUUGAUAUUGUUAAAUUUGGUGUAUUAUGUGGAGCUUCUGUAUUUCAAACUGGAAGCUGUCUUCUUUGAAGGUGGUAUGUGAUGUUAUUUUGAGCUACUAGAGCUUUGGUCAAUAUUUCCUUCCCUAUAUGUCACGGGGGGCACCGUUCAGAACUGUGUACAGAAGACCUCAAACAGAAAAUGAGCAGGAACUUCCAGUCAGCUUUCUGCUGGCUAGCUUUUUUGCCCCCAGUAUUACAAUUUUUGUUUUGUAAAUCAUGUCUUUGCUGACUUUUCUGCCCCUUUUCAAAGUGAUCUGAAAAAUUGUUUUUUCCUCAAGAAAAGAGUUCCUUUGCCUCAUUCUUCCCCACUGGUACUGACGGUUUUGAAAAUAAAUUGCUAGGAAAAAAUUGUACCUCCUAGAAGGAAGCCCUGUCCACCCUUUCCAGGUGCCGAUGGCUAAGCAGACGUACUGCAAACAUAACUGUAAUGCACGCUGUGGGUUAUUCUCAGUCAGCCUCUUCCUGCUAGAACAUUUUAUUUUCCUUGUUCACCAUACAAUCAUGUACUCUUUAACAGAAAUUACUUUUAAAGAAAUCUGGAGCUAUCUUAAAAAAAAAACUUUAUUAAUAAUCAUGUAUUUUUACUGAUCACAUUUUGAAAUGCCUAAAAGACUUUAUUCUAAUUAUCCAGAUGUACCUUUGUAAAAUAGCUCUUUUAUGAAUUAGCUGAUAAGGCUGUAUGUUUCUGGAACAAAAUAUUGGUCAUCUAAAAACUCUGUUUUCUGGGGUCUGGGAAAAUAGAAAAUGAGAGUUCAAAUAUUAAAUAUGCUUAAAGG
RNAcentral lists this long non-coding RNA (2324 nucleotides) under Phocoena sinus (vaquita). Its description in RNAcentral is "lncRNA (ENSPSNG00000020235.1)". The record is from RNAcentral. Lineage: Eukaryota; Metazoa; Chordata; Mammalia; Artiodactyla; Phocoenidae.